This 229-nucleotide ribosomal RNA is filed under the name uncultured bacterium. RNAcentral's name for it is "partial 16S ribosomal RNA". It matches the Rfam family "Bacterial small subunit ribosomal RNA", at positions 568 to 796 of the family's 1533-position model. The record is from RNAcentral.
UCCGUAGGUGGAUAAUUAAGUCAGAGGUGAAAUCCUGCAGCUCAACUGUAGAAUUGCCUUUGAAACUGGUUAUCUUGAGUUAUUAUGAAGUAGUUAGAAUAUGUAGUGUAGCGGUGAAAUGCAUAGAUAUUACAUAGAAUACCAAUUGCGAAGGCAGAUUACUAAUAAUAUACUGACACUGAUGGACGAAAGCGUGGGGAGCGAACAGGAUUAGAUACCCUGGUGGUCC